UCACCUUCCUUGGAAGACUGACACACGAGCGGUCGAUUCGAUCUAUUUCUUUAUCUCCCCAUGAAUCGUAUGUU
This 74-nucleotide transfer RNA is filed under the name Prunus campanulata (Taiwan cherry). RNAcentral describes it as "tRNA-Trp". Lineage: Eukaryota; Viridiplantae; Streptophyta; Magnoliopsida; Rosales; Rosaceae. The record is from RNAcentral.